RNAcentral lists this long non-coding RNA (291 nucleotides) under Nicotiana benthamiana. RNAcentral describes it as "long non-coding RNA (NBEN_LNC031522)". The record is from RNAcentral. Lineage: Eukaryota; Viridiplantae; Streptophyta; Magnoliopsida; Solanales; Solanaceae.
GAAUGAGAGUCAACUUGAUAAGUAAAUACACUAGUGGCCAAGUUUGAUGCAGGUCUGACUUAACCAACACUUUAGAAAGGUCACUAAUUCCCUUCAUGUUGAAGAACCUCUUGUCAUGACCACGAGCAUAAACUAUAAAACUAUCAAGCUGGAAACUAAGAUCUCGGAGGUCACUAAUUCCCUUCAUGUUGAAGAACCUCUUGUCAUGACCACGAGCAUAAACUAUAAAACUAUCAAGCUGGAAACUAAGAUCCCGGAGCUUGUUACUAUCAAACUCAUUCGGAUAAUAUU